CUACGUGCCAGCAGCCGCGGUAAUACGUAGGUCCCGAGCGUUGUCCGGAUUUAUUGGGCGUAAAGCGAGCGCAGGCGGUUAGAUAAGUCUGAAGUUAAAGGCUGUGGCUUAACCAUAGUACGCUUUGGAAACUGUUUAACUUGAGUGCAAGAGGGGAGAGUGGAAUUCCAUGUGUAGCGGUGAAAUGCGUAGAUAUAUGGAGGAACACCGGUGGCGAAAGCGGCUCUCUGGCUUGUAACUGACGCUGAGGCUCGAAAGCGUGGGUAGCAAACAGGAUUAGAUACCCUGGUAGUCCACGCCGUAAACGAUGAGUGCUAAGUGUUGGAGGGUUUCCGCCCUUCAGUGCUGCAGUUAACGCAUUAAGCACUCCGCCUGGGGAGUACGACCGCAAGGUUGAAACUCAAAGGAAUUGACGGGGGCCCGCACAAGCGGUGGAGCAUGUGGUUUAAUUCGAAGCAACGCGAAGAACCUUACCAGGUCUUGACAUCCCUCUGACCUCUCUAGAGAUAGAGAUUUC
RNAcentral lists this ribosomal RNA (517 nucleotides) under uncultured bacterium. RNAcentral's name for it is "bacterial SSU rRNA". It matches the Rfam family "Bacterial small subunit ribosomal RNA", at positions 501 to 1016 of the family's 1533-position model. The record is from RNAcentral.